Molecule: ribosomal RNA, 118 nt
Filed under: Pteropus alecto (black flying fox)
Lineage: Eukaryota; Metazoa; Chordata; Mammalia; Chiroptera; Pteropodidae
Source: RNAcentral
GUCUAUGGCCGUGCCACCCUGAACAAGCCCGAUCCCGUCUGAUCUCAGAAGCUAAGCGGGGUUGGGCCUGGUUAGUACUUGGAUGGGAGACCACCUAGGAAGAUCAGUGUUGUAGGUG